This 498-nucleotide ribosomal RNA is filed under the name uncultured bacterium. RNAcentral's name for it is "partial 16S ribosomal RNA". It matches the Rfam family "Bacterial small subunit ribosomal RNA", at positions 30 to 523 of the family's 1533-position model. The record is from RNAcentral.
AUUGAACGCUGGCGGCAUGCCUUACACAUGCAAGUCGAACGGUAACAGGUCUUCGGAUGCUGACGAGUGGCGAACGGGUGAGUAAUACAUCGGAACGUGCCUAGUAGUGGGGGAUAACUACUCGAAAGAGUGGCUAAUACCGCAUGAGAUCUACGGAUGAAAGCAGGGGACCGCAAGACCUUGUGCUACUAGAGCGGCCGAUGGCAGAUCAGGUAGUUGGUGGGAUAAAAGCUUACCAAGCCGACGAUCUGUAGCUGGUCUGAGAGGACGAUCAGCCACGCUGGAACUGAGACACGGCCCAGACUACUACGGGAGUCAGCAGUGGGGAAUUUUGGACAAUGGGCGCAAGCCUGAUCCAGCAAUGCCGCGUGCAGGAUGAAGGCCUUCGGGUUGUAAACUGCUUUUGUACGGAACGAAAAGCCCUGGGUUAAUACCCUGGGGUCAUGACGGUACCGUAAGGAUAAGCACCGGCUAACUACGUGCCAGCCGCCGCCGUAA